GAAAUAAAACUGUGUGAUAGACUAUGAUACAGCUAGAUCAUGUGGAGAUCAGGGGUGCGUGUACAAAGGUUGGGUCAGGUGUACCGAAAGUGGUCUAUAGAGUAAACCAACAAUUUUAGCUUGAGACUCACAAAACCAACUGAUAUGACAUAUAGACCAUUUCCAUCAUGUUGGUUGCACUAGUUCAUUAGAGACAAAGGGUGAGAGUGACACUGUAAAUGAGAUGGAGGUGAGGACAAUUAACUAGGAUUUGUUAGAAAAUAAAGUGAAAACAACAAAAAAAAAAUGUUAAAGGAUAGGAUAUACAUAACAAAACCAUAACCGACCAACUGUUCAACAAAUGUAGUUCAUUGGACCAGAUUUCAUUGGGUUGGUAGUUAAGCAAUUUUUUGUGAGAUCACAUGCACUAAUGGUUUAAGAUAUCAUCCAAUACAUGUCAGUACCAAGCACAAUAGACCAGCGAACAACAAUGCAAGUGAAACCUGGGUUGGCAUUUAAGUUUUUUUUGUGAGAUCACAC
RNAcentral lists this unclassified non-coding RNA (519 nucleotides) under Hevea brasiliensis (rubber tree). The record is from RNAcentral. Lineage: Eukaryota; Viridiplantae; Streptophyta; Magnoliopsida; Malpighiales; Euphorbiaceae.